RNAcentral lists this ribosomal RNA (146 nucleotides) under Cladonia prostrata. RNAcentral describes it as "5.8S ribosomal RNA". It matches the Rfam family "5.8S ribosomal RNA". From Rfam's summary of the family: 5.8S ribosomal RNA (5.8S rRNA) is a component of the large subunit of the eukaryotic ribosome. It is transcribed by RNA polymerase I as part of the 45S precursor that also contains 18S and 28S rRNA. Lineage: Eukaryota; Fungi; Ascomycota; Lecanoromycetes; Lecanorales; Cladoniaceae. The record is from RNAcentral.
AACUUUCAACAACGGAUCUCUUGGUUCUGGCAUCGAUGAAGAACGCAGCGAAAUGCGAUAAGUAAUGUGAAUUGCAGAAUUUAGUGAAUCAUCGAAUCUUUGAACGCACAUUGCGCCCCUCGGUAUUCCGGGGGGCAUGCCUGUUC